Molecule: long non-coding RNA, 376 nt
Filed under: Androctonus crassicauda
Lineage: Eukaryota; Metazoa; Arthropoda; Arachnida; Scorpiones; Buthidae
Source: RNAcentral
CCCACUGCUUGGCUGCACGGGGAGAGUGCACCUCCAAGUCCAGGGCCAGAGAGCUGGGGGAGGACCCUAACCCCAGGACCCUGCCCCGUCCCUGUCUCCUGGUCUAUCUGCCUGUGUGUCCCUGACUGCCCGCUGCCCCCUUUCGUCCUGGCCCCAUGUGUCCCCACCUCGGGGUCUCAUGGCCCCCCAUGCCCCUGGUGUCUCUGUGGCCUGGGUGACCUUUCUGAGGUGGUGCCGCCCCCGCCCCGCCCCCAGUGUUAUUUAUGUCCCUCUUGCCAGUGACACCCACAGCCACGCCUCCACCGCAUUCCUCCCGCCUGCCAGCGCCCGCCCACCACCCUCACGUGGCUCACACUUGAGUGCUGGGACUUUUGCU